GUGCCAGCCGCCGCGGUAAUACGUAGGGUGCGAGCGUUAAUCGGAAUUACUGGGCGUAAAGCGUGCGCAGGCGGUCUUGUAAGACAGUCGUGAAAUCCCUGGGCUUAACCUAGGAACUGCGAUUGUGACUGCAAGGCUAGAGUGUGUCAGAGGGGGGUGGAAUUCCACGUGUAGCAGUGAAAUGCGUAGAGAUGUGGAGGAACACCGAUGGCGAAGGCAGCCCCCUGGGAUAACACUGACGCUCAUGCACGAAAGCGUGGGGAGCAAACAGGAUUAGAUACCCUGGUAGUCCACGCCCUAAACGAUGUCAACUGGUUGUUGGGUGGGUAACCACUUAGUAACGAAGCUAACGCGUGAAGUUGACCGCCUGGGGAGUACGGUCGCAAGAUUAAAACUCAAAUAAAUUGACGG
RNAcentral lists this ribosomal RNA (411 nucleotides) under uncultured bacterium. RNAcentral's name for it is "bacterial SSU rRNA". It matches the Rfam family "Bacterial small subunit ribosomal RNA", at positions 505 to 916 of the family's 1533-position model. The record is from RNAcentral.